CAGCCGCCACGGUAAUACGAAGGGUGCAAGCGUUAAUCGGAAUUACUGGGCGUAAAGCGUGUGUAGGUGGUGGUUUAAGUCCGUUGUGAAAUCCCCGGGCUCAACCUGGGAAUGGCAGUGGAUACUGGCAAGCUAGAGUGUGGUAGAGGAUAGUGGAAUUUCCGGUGUAGCAGUGAAAUGCGUAGAGAUCGGAAGGAACAUCUGUGGCGAAGGCGACUAUCUGGGCCAACACUGACACUGAGGCACGAAAGCGUGGGGAGCAAACAGGAUUAGAUACCCCUGUAGUCCCUGUCUCUUAUAC
RNAcentral lists this ribosomal RNA (301 nucleotides) under uncultured bacterium. Its description in RNAcentral is "partial 16S ribosomal RNA". It matches the Rfam family "Bacterial small subunit ribosomal RNA", at positions 509 to 807 of the family's 1533-position model. The record is from RNAcentral.